This 76-nucleotide transfer RNA is filed under the name Caulobacteraceae bacterium. Its description in RNAcentral is "tRNA-Lys". It matches the Rfam family "tRNA". Rfam says of the family: Transfer RNA (tRNA) molecules are approximately 80 nucleotides in length. Their secondary structure includes four short double-helical elements and three loops (D, anti-codon, and T loops). The record is from RNAcentral. Lineage: Bacteria; Pseudomonadati; Pseudomonadota; Alphaproteobacteria; Caulobacterales; Caulobacteraceae.
GGAUCAAUAGCUCAGUCGGUAGAGCAGCGGACUUUUAAUCCGUUGGUCGUGGGUUCGAGCCCCACCUGAUCCACCA